AACGAACGCUGGCGGCAUGCCUAACACAUGCAAGUCGAACGGGAACGUCGGGUCUACUGGCGCACGGGUGCGUAACGCGGGGGAACCUGCCCUUAGAUUCGGAAUAACUCCCCGAAAGAGGUGCUAAUAACGGCUAGGAUCUUCGGUCCAAAGCUUUAUCGCCUUUGGGUGGGCCCGCGUUGGUGUAGCUUGUUGGUAGGGUAAAAGCCUACCAAGGCGACGAUCCAUAGCUGGUCUGUGAGGCUGAGACGCCACACUGGGACGGAGGCACGGCACAGAUUCCUACGGGAGGCCGCAGUGCGGAAUACUGGACCAGGGGCGAAGGGCUGAGCCAGCCAGGCUGCGUGAGGGAUGAAGGUCUUAGGGUUGUAAAGCUCUUUUAGCCGGGAUGAUAAUGACGGUACCGGGAGAAUAAGCACCGGCUAACUCCGUG
RNAcentral lists this ribosomal RNA (433 nucleotides) under uncultured bacterium. Its description in RNAcentral is "partial 16S ribosomal RNA". It matches the Rfam family "Bacterial small subunit ribosomal RNA", at positions 29 to 507 of the family's 1533-position model. The record is from RNAcentral.